UAAGCCAUAGGCAUUUGGAGGAGACAAAAUUGAUUUGUCAUUACUUCCUCUGUAUCCAGACCAUACUGCCAGACACCUCUGGGAUGGAGAAGUAGCAUUAGUUGGAUUUAUUUUUUUUACGUUAAUUUUAAUUAAGAAAUUUAUGAGAUUGAUUUUUUUCAAGAGCGUGAUCCGCAAAAGUUCAUUAACCACGGGCGGAACAUUGUUGGCCUAAAGUCAAGACUGGUUAAAGUACGAUCAACCACGGGAUGCUUAAUGCAUUCGUG
This 266-nucleotide long non-coding RNA is filed under the name Lathyrus oleraceus (garden pea). RNAcentral's name for it is "Pisum sativum (pea) long non-coding RNA (PSAT_LNC037127)". Lineage: Eukaryota; Viridiplantae; Streptophyta; Magnoliopsida; Fabales; Fabaceae. The record is from RNAcentral.